RNAcentral lists this transfer RNA (68 nucleotides) under Anolis vanzolinii. RNAcentral describes it as "tRNA-Ala". Lineage: Eukaryota; Metazoa; Chordata; Lepidosauria; Squamata; Anolidae. The record is from RNAcentral.
ACUUGUAAAAUAUUAAUUUACAUAUCAUGAAUGCAACUCAAGCACUUUAAUUAAGCUAAAAUCUAAUC